RNAcentral lists this ribosomal RNA (194 nucleotides) under uncultured bacterium. RNAcentral's name for it is "partial 16S ribosomal RNA". It matches the Rfam family "Bacterial small subunit ribosomal RNA", at positions 338 to 524 of the family's 1533-position model. The record is from RNAcentral.
UCUACGGGAGGCAGCAGUGGGGAAUUUUGGACAAUGGGCGAAAGCCUGAUCCAGCCAUGCCGCGUGCAGGAUGAAGGCCUUCGGGUUGUAAACUGCUUUUGUACGGAACGAAAAGACUCCCUCUAAUACAGGGGGUCCAUGACGGUACCGUAAGAAUAAGCACCGGCUAACUACGUGCCAGCAGCCGCGGUAAU